CUAGCGGCAGACGGGUGAGUAACAUGUGGGAAUCUGCCUUUUGGUUCGGAACAACACGAGGAAACUUGUGCUAAUACCGGAUAAGCCCUUACGGGGAAAGUUUUAAUGCCAAAAGAUGAGCCCGCAUUUGAUUAGCUAGUUGGUAAGGUAAAAGCUUACCAAGGCGACAAUCAAUAGCUGAUUUGAGAGGAUGAUCAGCCACACUGGGACUGAGACACGGCCCAAACUCC
This 230-nucleotide ribosomal RNA is filed under the name uncultured bacterium. Its description in RNAcentral is "partial 16S ribosomal RNA". It matches the Rfam family "Bacterial small subunit ribosomal RNA", at positions 92 to 339 of the family's 1533-position model. The record is from RNAcentral.